GGAGAGGUGCUCGAGUGGUUGAAGAGGCACGCCUGGAAAGCGUGUAUACGCCAAAAGUGUAUCGAGAGUUCGAAUCUCUUCCUCUCCG
This 88-nucleotide transfer RNA is filed under the name Prevotellaceae bacterium. Its description in RNAcentral is "tRNA-Ser". It matches the Rfam family "tRNA". From Rfam's summary of the family: Transfer RNA (tRNA) molecules are approximately 80 nucleotides in length. Their secondary structure includes four short double-helical elements and three loops (D, anti-codon, and T loops). Lineage: Bacteria; Pseudomonadati; Bacteroidota; Bacteroidia; Bacteroidales; Prevotellaceae. The record is from RNAcentral.